Molecule: ribosomal RNA, 868 nt
Filed under: uncultured Bacillota bacterium
Lineage: Bacteria; Bacillati; Bacillota
Description: bacterial SSU rRNA
Rfam family: Bacterial small subunit ribosomal RNA
Source: RNAcentral
UGCAGUCGAGCGAGAAAGUGUAGCAAUACAUGAGUAAAGCGGCGCACGGGUGAGUAACACGUGGGUAACCUGCCUCGAAGUGGGGAAUAACACCGGGAAACCGGUGCUAAUACCGCAUACUCCGACGGGGUCUUCGGAUCUUGUCGGCAAAGGAGCAAUUCGCUUCGAGAGGGGCCCGCGGCUGAUUAGCUAGUUGGUGAGGUAAUGGCUCACCAAGGCAUUGAUCAGUAUCCGGUCUGAGAGGACGGUCGGACACACUGGAACUGAGACACGGUCCAGACUCCUACGGGAGGCAGCAGUGGGGAAUUUUUGGCAAUGGGGGAAACCCUGACCAAGCAACGCCGCGUGGAUGAUGAAGUAUUUCGGUACGUAAAAUCCUUUCGACGGGGACGAAGACCGCAAGGUUUGACGGUACCCGUAGAAGAAGCCCCGGCUAACUCCGUGCCAGCAGCCGCGGUAAUACGGGGGGGGCAAGCGUUGUUCGGAAUUACUGGGCGUAAAGGGUGCGUAGGUGGCCUGUCAAGUCGGAUGUGAAAACUCUGGGCUUAACCCAGAGCCUGCAUUCGAUACUGACGGGCUAGAGUUCUGGAGGGGAAAGCGGAAUUCCUGGUGUAGCGGUGAAAUGCGUAGAUAUCAGGAGGAACACCGGUGGCGAAGGCGGCUUUCUGGACAGAAACUGACACUGAGGCACGAAAGCUAGGGGAGCAAACAGGAUUAGAUACCCUGUAGUCCUAGCCCUAAACGAUGGAUACUUGCUGUGAGGGGAUGAAACCCUUCGUGGCGAAGCUAACGCAUUAAGUAUCCCGCCUGGGGAGUACGGUCGCAGGCUGAAACUCAAAGGAAUGACGGGGGCCCGCACAAGCGGUGG